GAUGAACGCUGGCGGCGUGCCUAAUACAUGCAAGUCGAGCGAACAGACGAGGAGCUUGCUCCUCUGACGUUAGCGGCGGACGGGUGAGUAACACGUGGAUAACCUACCUAUAAGACUGGGAUAACUUCGGGAAACCGGAGCUAAUACCGGAUAAUAUAUUGAACCGCAUGGUUCAAUAGUGAAAGACGGUUUUGCUGUCACUUAUAGAUGGAUCCGCGCCGCAUUAGCUAGUUGGUAAGGUAACGGCUUACCAAGGCAACGAUGCGUAGCCGACCUGAGAGGGUGAUCGGCCACACUGGUACUGAGACACGGUCCAGACUCCUACGGGAGGCAGCAGUAGGGAAUCUUACGCAAUGGGCGAAAGCCUGACGGAGCAACGCCGCGUGAGCGAUGAAGGUCUUCGGAUCGUAAAACUCUGUUAUUAGGGAAGAACAAAUGUGUAAGUAACUAUGCACGUCUUGACGGUACCUAAUCAGAAAGCCACGGCUAACUACGUG
Molecule: ribosomal RNA, 497 nt
Filed under: uncultured bacterium
Lineage: Bacteria
Description: partial 16S ribosomal RNA
Rfam family: Bacterial small subunit ribosomal RNA
Source: RNAcentral